CCGUAUGAUCACCGAAGUUAAGCAGCGUAGAGCCAGGUCAGUACUUAGAUGGGGGACCGCUUGGGAACACCUGGUACUGUAAG
Acanthosepion pharaonis is the source of this 83-nucleotide non-coding RNA. The record is from the annotation of a GenBank genome assembly. NCBI's taxonomy places the organism in Eukaryota, Metazoa, Mollusca, Cephalopoda, Sepiida, Sepiidae.